GUCCUGAGGCUGCCAUGGUGGAGAAGCCACGUGCAAUGAUGGCAUGGAGAGGCCUUGAUGUUACCCAGAGGGAGAUGCCCAACAUGACCCCAGGCAUUUGACAUAUGUCAACAGCUUUUGGAGAGAUGGAGAGCAUCAGCAUGAAACAAGAGCCUUAGAUCAAAAUAGCAACGUUCUGGCAUUUAAGGUCCUCUGCAAUGUGAAUCCAUUAAUGUUGAGGCACAACUGACCAUACACAAUUAGAAGGAAAUAAACAAGAUAGCCUCUCAGUUCCUCUAUCACCAAGAGAAACAGCAACAACUCAACUGCUGAUUAGGAGCAAGGACGGCAGCUCAGAAGUCUGUUGACUGCUCUUCAGCUCCUGGACACAUAAAACCAUCGGGAUUCGUCUGAGAACUUCAGAAUUGCUGGAGAUGGCCCCCACAUCUAGAUGGUCUUUUUCCUGAAGACCUUUUAGAAAACCCAACAGAUGGAUGCAGGGCACCAAGGGGACUAAAGAAUGACCACUGUGAAGGACAGCAAGAAGGUCCCGUUUAAGAAGCAGAGCUGGUGUGCCGGGGGCUCAGCAACAAGCCAUGUCUGGACAAGAAGUUGACAACGAGAUUCAAGACAAAGAAGAGGAAGUCCCGGGACGGAAAAUAUUCAGGGUGGAAAUUCCUCUGCUUUACUGUCGUGAAAAUGAAAAGUGAGCCGUGGACUGGGAGAAAAAUAUGUGCAAAACAUAUCCAGUAAAAGACUUGUAUCUGGAUAUAGAAAAAAUUCUUAUAAUUCGAUAAGAAGAAGACAAAUGACCAAUUGAAAAGGAAGAUAUACAGAUGGCAUUUAGGUACAUGAAAGAUACUCACUAGUCAUCAGGGAAAGGAAAAUUUAAAACCACAAGGAGAUAUUACUACUACCCAGUAGCAUGGCUAAAAUUAAAAAGACUGACCUACAAAGUGUUGGCAAAAAUGUGGAGAAAUUGAAAUUGUCAUGCACUGCUGGUAGGAAUGUAAAAUGGUAAAAACACUUUGGAAAACAAGUCAGAAGUUUCAUACAUAGUUAAACAUACACCUUCCCAACCAUAUAACCUAGCCAUUCGACUCCUGGGUAGAGAGAUGUGAUCAUAUAACC
Molecule: long non-coding RNA, 1110 nt
Filed under: Equus asinus (donkey)
Lineage: Eukaryota; Metazoa; Chordata; Mammalia; Perissodactyla; Equidae
Description: lncRNA (ENSEASG00005033163.1)
Source: RNAcentral